UGAUGAUUCCAGGUCUCAAGGGCCGAUGUCCUGCAGGUUUUAGAUCUCACCCUGCCACUUGAAUGAAAUGAUUAGUUCAUUACCAGGCCUCUGGAGAACUUCAAGACAUGUUGAGGAAGUUACUUAACCAUUUAAAUCAGCUGUGUCAUCUAAAACCCUGCAGGAAGCCGGCCCUUGAGGCCUGGAGUUCCCCCACCCCUGACAACUUAAGGAAUCAGGGAACCGCGUUCAGUCCGCCUUCACAAUCAAGAAGUUUGCAAGCUAGCUAGGGACUGGGCAUUAUUAUCCUUAAAACGAUCGAAGUGGUUUUGUUUGGUAUUGGAUCUGAGGUGUUUGGAUUUUGAUCUCGCUUUUCCCCCCCUCUUCCUUCACGACAAUGGAGCACAAACAAGGAGCAUUUGUGCUGCUAAAGAUACAUUGGCUCUGUAUACUCUUCAUCUACGGACAGUCUAGUGUAAAUUGCGGAAAAGGAACCAAAGAUUCUCUGACUGACAUCAGCCAUCAUCCUCAGGACAAUCAGAGUGAUCAGAUGCAGAGAGCUGUGGUACUGGAGCAUCGAAGAGUUCCUCGAGAUGUAAAUGAUAGACUACAGAAGCUAGAGAUAAGGGUGGGGGAGAUGGCUCGGGUGCUGGAUGAGGUCAGAACUCAGGUAAAGAUUGCACUUAAAGCAUGAGUUUCACAAAACAAUGACACAGUGAAACAUGACAUGACAUACUAGGAUUUUCUUUUUAAUAACAGACUGACAAACUGUUGAUGCUGGAGAAUAGGAUGGACGAGCUGGCACGUAAGCUGAACGUGGCCACUGUACGAACAAAAAAUGACAUAAUGAAACAAAAAAUGACAUAAUGAAACAUGACAUGGCAUACUGGGAUUUUUAAUUUUGAUUUAUUACUUAUAUUUUUACUUCCAAUGGCAAACUAUAGAGAAAUGAUAGCCUGCAACAUCUGGAGGAUAUAUCAAGGGAGCUGGAUCGCAUGCAGAAAAUAAUCACCACUCAGGUAAAGAUUGCACUUAGUGAGUUUUCACAAAAAAAUGACACAAUGAAACAUUACAUGACAUACUGGGAUUUUUUUUUCUUUUUUUAAUAACAGACUGACAAACUGUUGAUGCUGGAAAAUAGGAUGGACGAGCUGGCACGUAUGCUGAAUGUGGCCAUUGUAAGAGCCAAAAAUGACAUAAUGAAACAUGACAUGACAUACCGGGAUUUUAAACUUUGAUUUAUUUACUUUUAUUGUUACUUUUUUGGCCCAAUGACAAACUACAGAGAAAUGAUAGCCUGCAACAUCUGGAGAAUAUAUCAAGGGAGCUGGAUCGCAUGCAAAAAACGUUCAUAGCUCAGGUAAAGAUUGCACGCAGUCCAAUGAGUUUUCACAAAAAAAUGACACAAUGAAACAUUACAUAACAUACUAGGAUUUUUUUUUCUUUUUUAAUAACAGACUGACAAACUGUUGAGGCUGGAGAAUAGGAUGGACGAGCUGACACGUACACUGAAUGUGGCCAUUGUAAGAGCCAAAAAUGACAUAAUGAAACAUUACAUGACAUACCGGGAUUUUAAACUUUGAUUUAUUUAUUUUUAUGUUUACUUUUUUGCCCCAAUGACAAACUACAGAAAGCUGACAGCCUGCAACAUCUGGAGAAUAUCUCAAGGGUGCUGGAUCGCAUGCAGAAAACGAUCAUAGCUCAGGUAAAGAUUGCACUCAGUCCAAUGAGUUUUCACAAAAAAAUGACACAAUGAAACAUUACAUAACAUACUAGGAUUUUUUUUUCUUUUUUAAUAACAGACUGACAAACUGUCGAGGCUGGAGAAUAGGAUGGACGAGCUGACACGUACACUGAAUGUGGCCAUUGUAAGAGCCAAAAAUGACAUAAUCAAACAUGACAUGACAUACCGGGAUUUUAAACUUUGAUUUAUUUACUUUUAUGUUUACUUUUUUGCCCCAAUGACAAACUACAGAAAAAUGAUAGUCUGCAACAUCUGGAGAAUAUAUCAAGGCAGAUGGAUCGUAUGCUGGAAAUGGUCAAAGCUCAGGUAAAGAUUGCACUUAGUCUAUGAAUUUUCACAAAAAAAUGACAUAAUGAAACAUGAAAUGACAUACUUGGAUUUUUUUUUCUUUUUUUCAUAACAGACUGAAAAACUAUGGAUGCUGGAGAAUAGGAUAAAUGUAACCACUGUGAGAGCCAAAAUUGGCAUAAUUAAACUUGACAUGGCAUACUGGGAUUUUAAACUUUUAUUUAUUUACUUUUAUUUUUACUUUUUUGCCCCAAUGACAAACUAUAGAGAAAUGACAGCCUGCAACAUCUGGAGGAUAUAUCAAGGGAGCUGGAUCAUAGGCUGCACAUGGUCAGUGUGGAGGUAAAUAUUCCACUUCAUAUUUCUUGAUGCAGUUACGGAAAUCCCAAAAAGUUGAUUUCCCGAGAGAACAACUCUGAAUUGAGGAUCUUACAAUGCUGUGAUUGCAGCCAUUCCCCAACUCUCUGUGAAUGGUAAUCAUGGACAUUUUCUGAAUAGUUUUUUCAUGAAAAAUGGCAUGAAUCAUUGCAGGACAUAUUUGGACAUAUAUUUUUUGUUUGUUUGUUUUAUAACAGAAUGGAAAACUAAAGAGAGAGAUGUACUUCCUGAAAUCAUGUUUGAAGGAGCAAUGCAAAGAAGGUGACUCAUGUUCUUUCUGUGAGAGCUAUCAUCUAUCAUAUAUCGCUAUCAGUUUUUCUUUUCAUUUCUUUCAACAGUCAAAUGUUCGGACACACCUUCUCAUUUAAUGGUUUUUCUUUGUUUUCAUGAUUAUUUACAUUGUAGUUUCUCACUGGAGGCAUCAGAACUAUGAAUGAACACAUACGGAAUUAUGUAGUAAACAAAAAAGUGUGAAAUAACUCAAAACAUGUUUUAUAUUUUAGAUUCUUAAAAAUAGCCACCAGUUUUUUUGAUUACUGCUUCGCACACUCUUGGCAUUCUCCCGAUGAGCUUCAUCAGGUAGUCACCUGAAAUGGUUUCCCAACAGUAUUGAAGGUGUUCCUAGAGAUGCUGAGCGUUUGUUGGCCCUUUUGACUUCCAUCCAGCUCAUCCCAAACCAUCUCGACUGGUUUUAAGUUAGGCAACUGUGGACUCCAGGCCAUCUGGCGGAGCACUCCAUCACUCUCCUUCUUGGUCAAAUAGCCAUCAGACAGCCUGGAGGUGUGUUUGAGGUC
Molecule: long non-coding RNA, 3183 nt
Filed under: Oreochromis niloticus (Nile tilapia)
Lineage: Eukaryota; Metazoa; Chordata; Actinopteri; Cichliformes; Cichlidae
Description: lncRNA (ENSONIG00000042485.1)
Source: RNAcentral